Non-coding RNA from Theobroma cacao (cacao), 387 nucleotides. The record is from RefSeq and is a predicted model, not a curated record. NCBI's taxonomy places the organism in Eukaryota, Viridiplantae, Streptophyta, Magnoliopsida, Malvales, Malvaceae.
UUGGUUUUGUAAUUCAAGCAAGCUAAGCUUGAUGAUUAAUGUUUUGAAGGAAUAUUGGAGUGCAAGUACGGGUCAAGCAACCAUAAAGGAAGUGCAACAGUAAAGGUAGCGUACUGAUGUGGUGUGUCGAGGCCAAUAACAAGUGACCGACAAGUAGGAAUAGCUAGAUAUGCCUCCGAACAAAUAGCGAUGCAAUAUCCCGUUAUUGUAAGUAAGAUUCAUUUUUACUGCAGCAAGAAACUCUUGGGUAGGCAUCCUUAAUCCAUGCUCUGAAUUUCGCUAUAGCGAGAAACUCUUAGGUGGUUCCAAAAUUAUGGUGCAGUGCUUUCACUUUGACAAAGAUUUUGACUACCUUUUGAUCAGAACUAGGCAAAGUGGUAAACAUCA